AUUGAACGCUGGCGGCAGGCCUAACACAUGCAAGUCGAACGGUAACAGGAAGCAGCUUGCUGCUUCGCUGACGAGUGGCGGACGGGUGAGUAAUGUCUGGGAAGCUGCCUGAUGGAGGGGGAUAACUACUGGAAACGGUAGCUAAUACCGCAUAAUGUCGCAAGACCAAAGAGGGGGACCUUCGGGCCUCUUGCCAUCGGAUGUGCCCAGAUGGGAUUAGCUUGUUGGUGGGGUAACGGCUCACCAAGGCGACGAUCCCUAGCUGGUCUGAGAGGAUGACCAGCCACACUGGAACUGAGACACGGUCCAGACUCCUACGGGAGGCAGCAGUGGGGAAUAUUGCACACUGGGCGCAAGCCUGAUGCAGCCAUGCCGCGUGUAUGAAGAAGGCCUUCGGGUUGUAAAGUACUUUCAGCGGGGAGGAAGGGAGUAAAGUUAAUACCUUUGCUCAUUGACGUUACCCGCAGAAGAAGCACCGGCUAACUCCGUG
Molecule: ribosomal RNA, 490 nt
Filed under: uncultured bacterium
Lineage: Bacteria
Description: partial 16S ribosomal RNA
Rfam family: Bacterial small subunit ribosomal RNA
Source: RNAcentral